Molecule: ribosomal RNA, 350 nt
Filed under: uncultured Acetobacter sp.
Lineage: Bacteria; Pseudomonadati; Pseudomonadota; Alphaproteobacteria; Acetobacterales; Acetobacteraceae
Description: bacterial SSU rRNA
Rfam family: Bacterial small subunit ribosomal RNA
Source: RNAcentral
UGGGGAAUAUUGGACAAUGGGGGCAACCCUGAUCCAGCAAUGCCGCGUGUGUGAAGAAGGUUUUCGGAUUGUAAAGCACUUUCGACGGGGACGAUGAUGACGGUACCCGUAGAAGAAGCCCCGGCUAACUUCGUGCCAGCAGCCGCGGUAAUACGAAGGGGGCGUAGCGUUGCUCGGAAUGACUGGGCGUAAAGGGCGUGUAGGCGGUUUGUACAGUCAGAUGUGAAAAUCCCCGGCCGUAUCACUGGGAGCUGCAUUUGAUAUCGUGCAGACUAGAGUGUGAGAGAGGGUUGUGGAAUUCCCAGUGUAGAGGUGAAAAUUCGUAGAUAUUGGGAAGAACACCGGUGGCG